GGCUACGUAGCUCAGUUGGUUAGAGCACAUCACUCAUAAUGAUGCGGUCACAGGUUCGAAUCCCGUCGUAGCCACCA
This 77-nucleotide transfer RNA is filed under the name Salmonella enterica. Its description in RNAcentral is "tRNA-Met". It matches the Rfam family "tRNA". From Rfam's summary of the family: Transfer RNA (tRNA) molecules are approximately 80 nucleotides in length. Their secondary structure includes four short double-helical elements and three loops (D, anti-codon, and T loops). The record is from RNAcentral. RNAcentral also lists the same sequence under 1 other name. Lineage: Bacteria; Pseudomonadati; Pseudomonadota; Gammaproteobacteria; Enterobacterales; Enterobacteriaceae.